Molecule: transfer RNA, 77 nt
Filed under: Vicinamibacterales bacterium
Lineage: Bacteria; Pseudomonadati; Acidobacteriota; Vicinamibacteria; Vicinamibacterales
Description: tRNA-Arg
Rfam family: tRNA
About the family: Transfer RNA (tRNA) molecules are approximately 80 nucleotides in length. Their secondary structure includes four short double-helical elements and three loops (D, anti-codon, and T loops). Further hydrogen bonds mediate the characteristic L-shaped molecular structure. tRNAs have two regions of fundamental functional importance: the anti-codon, which is responsible for specific mRNA codon recognition, and the 3' end, to which the tRNAs corresponding amino acid is attached (by aminoacyl-tRNA synthetases). tRNAs cope with the degeneracy of the genetic code in two manners: having more than one tRNA (with a specific anti-codon) for a particular amino acid; and 'wobble' base-pairing, i.e. permitting non-standard base-pairing at the 3rd anti-codon position.
Source: RNAcentral
GCGCCCGUAGCUCAGCUGGAUAGAGCGUCCGCCUCCGAAGCGGAAGGUCGCAGGUUCGAAUCCUGCCGGGCGUACCA